RNAcentral lists this ribosomal RNA (440 nucleotides) under uncultured bacterium. RNAcentral describes it as "partial 16S ribosomal RNA". It matches the Rfam family "Bacterial small subunit ribosomal RNA", at positions 339 to 795 of the family's 1533-position model. The record is from RNAcentral.
CUACGGGCGGCAGCAGUGAGGAAUAUUGCACAAUGGAGGAGACUCUGAUGCAGCAACGCCGCGUGGAGGAUGACGCAUUUCGGUGUGUAAACUCCUUUUAUAUGUCAAGAAAAUGACGGUAGCAUAUGAAUAAGCACCGGCUAACUCCGUGCCAGCAGCCGGCGGUAAUACGGAGGGUGCAAGCGUUACUCGGAAUCACUGGGCGUAAAGGACGCGUAGGCGGGUUGGAAAGUCAGGUGUGAAAUCCUACAGCUUAACUGUAGAACUGCACUUGAAACUUCUAAUCUAGAGUAUGGGAGGGGGAGAUGGAAUUAGUGGUGUAGGGGUAAAAUCCGUAGAUAUCACUAGGAAUACCUAAAGCGAAGGCGAUCUCCUGGAACAUUACUGACGCUAAGGCGUGAAAGCGUGGGGAGCAAACAGGAUUAGAUACCCGUGUAGUC